This 201-nucleotide ribosomal RNA is filed under the name uncultured Borrelia sp. RNAcentral's name for it is "partial 16S ribosomal RNA". It matches the Rfam family "Bacterial small subunit ribosomal RNA", at positions 526 to 725 of the family's 1533-position model. The record is from RNAcentral. Lineage: Bacteria; Pseudomonadati; Spirochaetota; Spirochaetia; Spirochaetales; Borreliaceae.
CGUAAGGGGCGAGCGUUGUUCGGGAUCAUUGGGCGUAAAGGGUGAGUAGGCGGAUAUGCAAGUCUAUGUGUAAAAUACCACAGCUCAACUGUGGAACUAUGCUGGAAACUGCAUGACUAGAGUCUGAUAGGGGAAGUUAGAAUUCCUGGUGUAAGGGUGGAAUCUGUUGAUAUCAGGAAGAAUACCAGAGGCGAAGGCGAA